This 2897-nucleotide ribosomal RNA is filed under the name Escherichia coli. RNAcentral describes it as "bacterial LSU rRNA". It matches the Rfam family "Bacterial large subunit ribosomal RNA". Lineage: Bacteria; Pseudomonadati; Pseudomonadota; Gammaproteobacteria; Enterobacterales; Enterobacteriaceae. The record is from RNAcentral.
UUAAGCGACUAAGCGUACACGGUGGAUGCCCUGGCAGUCAGAGGCGAUGAAGGACGUGCUAAUCUGCGAUAAGCGUCGGUAAGGUGAUAUGAACCGUUAUAACCGGCGAUUUCCGAAUGGGGAAACCCAGUGUGUUUCGACACACUAUCAUUAACUGAAUCCAUAGGUUAAUGAGGCGAACCGGGGGAACUGAAACAUCUAAGUACCCGAGGAAAAGAAAUCAACCGAGAUUCCCCAGUAGCGGCGAGCGAACGGGGAGCAGCCCAGAGCCUGAAUCAGUGUGUGUGUUAGUGGAAGCGUCUGGAAAGGCGCGCGAUACAGGGUGACAGCCCCGUACACAAAAAUGCACAUGCUGUGAGCUCGAUGAGUAGGGCGGGACACGUGGUAUCCUGUCUGAAUAUGGGGGGACCAUCCUCCAAGGCUAAAUACUCCUGACUGACCGAUAGUGAACCAGUACCGUGAGGGAAAGGCGAAAAGAACCCCGGCGAGGGGAGUGAAAAAGAACCUGAAACCGUGUACGUACAAGCAGUGGGAGCACGCUUAGGCGUGUGACUGCGUACCUUUUGUAUAAUGGGUCAGCGACUUAUAUUCUGUAGCAAGGUUAACCGAAUAGGGGAGCCGAAGGGAAACCGAGUCUUAACUGGGCGUUAAGUUGCAGGGUAUAGACCCGAAACCCGGUGAUCUAGCCAUGGGCAGGUUGAAGGUUGGGUAACACUAACUGGAGGACCGAACCGACUAAUGUUGAAAAAUUAGCGGAUGACUUGUGGCUGGGGGUGAAAGGCCAAUCAAACCGGGAGAUAGCUGGUUCUCCCCGAAAGCUAUUUAGGUAGCGCCUCGUGAAUUCAUCUCCGGGGUAGAGCACUGUUUCGGCAAGGGGGUCAUCCCGACUUACCAACCCGAUGCAAACUGCGAAUACCGGAGAAUGUUAUCACGGGAGACACACGGCGGGUGCUAACGUCCGUCGUGAAGAGGGAAACAACCCAGACCGCCAGCUAAGGUCCCAAAGUCAUGGUUAAGUGGGAAACGAUGUGGGAAGGCCCAGACAGCCAGGAUGUUGGCUUAGAAGCAGCCAUCAUUUAAAGAAAGCGUAAUAGCUCACUGGUCGAGUCGGCCUGCGCGGAAGAUGUAACGGGGCUAAACCAUGCACCGAAGCUGCGGCAGCGACGCUUAUGCGUUGUUGGGUAGGGGAGCGUUCUGUAAGCCUGCGAAGGUGUGCUGUGAGGCAUGCUGGAGGUAUCAGAAGUGCGAAUGCUGACAUAAGUAACGAUAAAGCGGGUGAAAAGCCCGCUCGCCGGAAGACCAAGGGUUCCUGUCCAACGUUAAUCGGGGCAGGGUGAGUCGACCCCUAAGGCGAGGCCGAAAGGCGUAGUCGAUGGGAAACAGGUUAAUAUUCCUGUACUUGGUGUUACUGCGAAGGGGGGACGGAGAAGGCUAUGUUGGCCGGGCGACGGUUGUCCCGGUUUAAGCGUGUAGGCUGGUUUUCCAGGCAAAUCCGGAAAAUCAAGGCUGAGGCGUGAUGACGAGGCACUACGGUGCUGAAGCAACAAAUGCCCUGCUUCCAGGAAAAGCCUCUAAGCAUCAGGUAACAUCAAAUCGUACCCCAAACCGACACAGGUGGUCAGGUAGAGAAUACCAAGGCGCUUGAGAGAACUCGGGUGAAGGAACUAGGCAAAAUGGUGCCGUAACUUCGGGAGAAGGCACGCUGAUAUGUAGGUGAGGUCCCUCGCGGAUGGAGCUGAAAUCAGUCGAAGAUACCAGCUGGCUGCAACUGUUUAUUAAAAACACAGCACUGUGCAAACACGAAAGUGGACGUAUACGGUGUGACGCCUGCCCGGUGCCGGAAGGUUAAUUGAUGGGGUUAGCGCAAGCGAAGCUCUUGAUCGAAGCCCGGUAAACGGCGGCCGUAACUAUAACGGUCCUAAGGUAGCGAAAUUCCUUGUCGGGUAAGUUCCGACCUGCACGAAUGGCGUAAUGAUGGCCAGGCUGUCUCCACCCGAGACUCAGUGAAAUUGAACUCGCUGUGAAGAUGCAGUGUACCCGCGGCAAGACGGAAAGACCCCGUGAACCUUUACUAUAGCUUGACACUGAACAUUGAGCCUUGAUGUGUAGGAUAGGUGGGAGGCUUUGAAGUGUGGACGCCAGUCUGCAUGGAGCCGACCUUGAAAUACCACCCUUUAAUGUUUGAUGUUCUAACGUUGACCCGUAAUCCGGGUUGCGGACAGUGUCUGGUGGGUAGUUUGACUGGGGCGGUCUCCUCCUAAAGAGUAACGGAGGAGCACGAAGGUUGGCUAAUCCUGGUCGGACAUCAGGAGGUUAGUGCAAUGGCAUAAGCCAGCUUGACUGCGAGCGUGACGGCGCGAGCAGGUGCGAAAGCAGGUCAUAGUGAUCCGGUGGUUCUGAAUGGAAGGGCCAUCGCUCAACGGAUAAAAGGUACUCCGGGGAUAACAGGCUGAUACCGCCCAAGAGUUCAUAUCGACGGCGGUGUUUGGCACCUCGAUGUCGGCUCAUCACAUCCUGGGGCUGAAGUAGGUCCCAAGGGUAUGGCUGUUCGCCAUUUAAAGUGGUACGCGAGCUGGGUUUAGAACGUCGUGAGACAGUUCGGUCCCUAUCUGCCGUGGGCGCUGGAGAACUGAGGGGGGCUGCUCCUAGUACGAGAGGACCGGAGUGGACGCAUCACUGGUGUUCGGGUUGUCAUGCCAAUGGCACUGCCGGUAGCUAAAUGCGGAAGAGAUAAGUGCUGAAAGCAUCUAAGCACGAAACUUGCCCCGAGAUGAGUUCUCCCUGACCCUUUAAGGGUCCUGAAGGAACGUUGAAGACGACGACGUUGAUAGGCCGGGUGUGUAAGCGCAGCGAUGCGUUGAGCUAACCGGUACUAAUGAACCGUGAGGCUUAACCUU